CAGUAGCCGCGGUAAUACGAGGGGUGCAAGCGUUAUUCGGAUUGAUUGGGUGUAAAGGGUGUGCAGACGGCUUAUUAAGUCACUUGUUAAAUUCUUCGGCCUAACUGAAGGUCUGCAAGUGAUACUGAUGAGCUAGAGGGUGGAAGAGAGAAGUGGAAUUCUCGGAGUAGCGGUAAAAUGCGUAGAUCUCGAGAGGAACACCAAUGGCGAAGGCAGCUUCUUGGCCCAUUCCUGACGUUCAUACACGAAAGCGUGGGGAGCGAACAGGAUUAGAUACCCGCGUAGUCCCUGUCUCUUAUAC
RNAcentral lists this ribosomal RNA (301 nucleotides) under uncultured bacterium. RNAcentral describes it as "partial 16S ribosomal RNA". It matches the Rfam family "Bacterial small subunit ribosomal RNA", at positions 509 to 807 of the family's 1533-position model. The record is from RNAcentral.